GUGAGGAAUCUUGCGCAAUGGGCGAAAGCCUGACGCAGCGACGCCGCGUGGAGGACGAAGGUCUUCGGAUCGUAAACUCCUGUCAAGUGGGACGAAUCCCACGAGGGUGAACAAUCCUCGUGGUUGACGGUACCACUGAAGGAAGCCCCGGCUAACUCCGUGCCAGCAGCCGCGGUAAUACGGAGGGGGCCAGCGUUGUUCGGAAUUAUUGGGCGUAAAGGGCGCGUAGGCGGCGUGGUAAGUCGGGCGUGAAAUCCCUCGGCUCAACCGAGGAAUUGCCUCCGAAACUGCCGUGCUUGAGUCCCGGAGAGGGUAGCGGAAUUCCCAGUGUAGCGGUGAAAUGCGUAGAUAUUGGGAGGAACACCAGUGGCGAAGGCGGCUACCUGGACGGGUACUGACGCUGAGGCGCGAAAGCGUGGGGAGCAAACAGGAUUAGAAACCCCAGUAGUCC
Molecule: ribosomal RNA, 451 nt
Filed under: uncultured bacterium
Lineage: Bacteria
Description: bacterial SSU rRNA
Rfam family: Bacterial small subunit ribosomal RNA
Source: RNAcentral